RNAcentral lists this ribosomal RNA (348 nucleotides) under uncultured Devosia sp. Its description in RNAcentral is "bacterial SSU rRNA". It matches the Rfam family "Bacterial small subunit ribosomal RNA", at positions 1 to 383 of the family's 1533-position model. The record is from RNAcentral. Lineage: Bacteria; Pseudomonadati; Pseudomonadota; Alphaproteobacteria; Hyphomicrobiales; Devosiaceae.
GUCAGAGUUUGAUCCUGGCUCAGAACGAACGCUGGCGGCAGGCUUAACACAUGCAAGUCGAACGCCCCGCAAGGGGAGUGGCAGACGGGUGAGUAACGCGUGGGAAUCUACCUAGUUCUACGGAACAACACAGGGAAACUUGUGCUAAUACCGUAUACGCCCUACGGGGGAAAGAUUUAUCGGAAUUAGAUGAGCCCGCGUAAGAUUAGCUAGUUGGUGGGGUAACGGCUCACCAAGGCAACGACGGGUAGCUGGUCUGAGAGGACGACCAGCCACACUGGAACUGAGACACGGUCCAGACACCUACGGGUGGCAGCAGUCGAGAAUCUUUCACAAUGGGGGCAACCC